RNAcentral lists this ribosomal RNA (492 nucleotides) under uncultured bacterium. RNAcentral describes it as "partial 16S ribosomal RNA". It matches the Rfam family "Bacterial small subunit ribosomal RNA", at positions 29 to 507 of the family's 1533-position model. The record is from RNAcentral.
AGUGAACGCUGGCGGUAGGCCUAACACAUGCAAGUCGAACGGCAGCACAGUAAGAGCUUGCUCUUACGGGUGGCGAGUGGCGGACGGGUGAGGAAUACAUCGGACUCUACUUUUUCGUGGGGGAUCACGUAGGGAAACUUACGCUAAUACCGCAUACGACCUACGGGUGAAAGCAGGUGAUCUUCGUAUCUUGCUCGAUUGAAUGAGCCGCUGUCGGAUUAGCUAGUUGGCGGGGUAAAGGCCCACCAAGGCGACGAUCCGUAGCUGGUCUGAGAGGAUGAUCGGCCACACUAGAACGGGGACACGGUCCAGACGCCUGAGGGAGGCAGCAGUGGGGAAUAUGAGGCAAUGGGCGCAAGCAUGAUCCAGCCAUACCGCGUGGGUGAAGAAGGCCUUCGGGUUGUAAAGACCUUUUGUUGGGAAAGAAAAGCAGCAGGUUGAGAACCAGCUGUUCUGACGGUACCCAAAGAAGAAGCACCGGCUAACUUCGUG